GAUGAACGCUGGCGGCGUGCCUAAUACAUGCAAGUCGAGCGAACGGACGAGAAGCUUGCUUCUCUGAUGUUAGCGGCGGACGGGUGAGUAACACGUGGAUAACCUACCUAUAAGACUGGGAUAACUUCGGGAAACCGGAGCUAAUACCGGAUGAUAUUUUGAACCGCAUGGUUCAAAAGUGAAAGACGGUCUUGCUGUCACUUAUAGAUGGAUCCGCGCUGCAUUAGCUAGUUGGUAAGGUAACGGCUUACCAAGGCAACGAUGCGUAGCCGACCUGAGAGGGUGAUCGGCCACACUGGAACUGAGACACGGUCCAGACUCCUACGGGAGGCAGCAGUAGGGAAUCGUCCGCAAAGGGCGAAAGCCUGACGGAGCAACGCCGCGUGAGUGAUGAAGGUCUUCGGAUCGUAAAACUCUGUUAUUAGGGAAGAACAGAUGUGUAAGUAACUGUGCACAGCGUGACGGUACCUAAUCAGAAAGCCACGGCUAACUACGUG
RNAcentral lists this ribosomal RNA (497 nucleotides) under uncultured bacterium. RNAcentral's name for it is "partial 16S ribosomal RNA". It matches the Rfam family "Bacterial small subunit ribosomal RNA", at positions 28 to 507 of the family's 1533-position model. The record is from RNAcentral.